RNAcentral lists this ribosomal RNA (421 nucleotides) under Clostridioides difficile. RNAcentral's name for it is "bacterial LSU rRNA". It matches the Rfam family "Bacterial large subunit ribosomal RNA", at positions 2261 to 2682 of the family's 2925-position model. Lineage: Bacteria; Bacillati; Bacillota; Clostridia; Peptostreptococcales; Peptostreptococcaceae. The record is from RNAcentral.
GUUGGCAAUUUGACCUGGGCUGGUCCCUCCCUAAAUGAUACGGAACCUCUUCUAUAGUCUCUCUGUUCCGGUGGUAAACGUUCUUCGAUUGGUAAGGCAGAAUAGUUCUCGAUUGGAAAACAUACCAGUCGAGCAAGGAUGAAAAUCGGACUUAGUGAUCCGGUGGUUCUUCGUGGAAGGGCCAUCGCUCAACGGAGAAAAGCUACCCUGGGGAUUACAGGCUUAUCCCCCCCAAGAGUCCACAUCGACGGGGAGGUUUGGCACCUCGAUGUCGGCUCAUCACAUCCUGGGGCUGUAGUAGGUCCCAAGGUUGGGCUGUUCGCUCAUUAAAGUGGUACGCGAGCUGGGUUCAUAACUUCGUGAAACAUUUCGGCCUCUAUCAGUCUCAGGCGACGGAAAUUUUAUACUCGCCGUCAUUAGU